AUGAGCGGAGCUGUGCUACCAGCAGUUCUAGUGGUACCAAAAAUGGAGUCAGUAGUCGUUCCGAUUGCGGAGUCCACCGUCAUUAAUGCCAAGGACACAACACCAUCCACGGCAGCGGACAACGACGUGUCACCGUCCCCAUCGGAGCCAGACACAGAUGCGAUCAAGAUGUUCGUCGGCCAGAUCCCUCGCCAGUGGAACGAGACAGACUGUCGGCGAUUAUUCGAGAAGUACGGAUCAGUGUUCUCGUGUAACAUACUCCGUGACAAAUCGACACAAGCUAGCAAAGGCUGCUGCUUUGUCACAUUUUAUCACAGAAAAGACGCGAUAGAGGCUCAAGGAGCCCUUCACAAUAUAAAGGUUAUUGAAGGAAUGCAUCAUCCGGUACAAAUGAAACCAGCUGAUACUGAGAACCGAAAUGAACGAAAACUUUUCAUCGGCCAGCUCAGCAAGAAGCACAACGAGGAGAAUCUGCGUGAGAUUUUUGCCAAAUUCGGCCAUAUUGAAGAUUGUAGUGUGCUUCGUGAUCAGGACGGAAAAAGUCGAGGAUGUGCAUUUGUAACGUUCACAAACCGCAGCUGUGCCGUCGUCGCCACCAAAGAAAUGCAUCACUCGCAAACGAUGGAGGGAUGCUCAGCGCCGCUUGUUGUAAAGUUCGCUGACACUCAAAAAGACAAAGACGUGAAGACGAAAUCAAUGAUCACUGGAAGUGGAGCCGGUUCACCGAAAGGAGGCGCGGCAAGCUUGCUUCAAAACUUGAAUCCGGCGCUGUUGCAGCAGCUCGGCGGUGGACAAAACUAUCAAGCAGUAGCCUCACUUUUGUCUCUUAUCAACGGACAACAGGGACAACAACAGCAGCACCAACAGCAACAAAAUGUUUUAGGAAUUUUGGGAACAGUGCUCUCUGCGCUCGGCAAGCUAACCGAAGGCGGUGACGACGCGUCGGCAAAGUCCUCAUCGGAAAAGCCACGCCACCAAGCGUUGAUGACGUCACCGGCACCGACUGCCACGUCAUCAACCUCAUCGUCGGCUUCACAUCAUCACCAGCAGCAUCAGCAGCAGUUAUCACAGCAACAACAACAACAACAACAUCCGCAGCAACAAGGUUUAGGUAACCCAUUGCUUGGAAAUCCAGCUAUGGCUGCUCAAAAUCAAUUCGACGCUAUCACAAUGGCACAGAUUGCUCAUCAACAGCAAAUGCUGGCACUCCAAGGGUUCGCCGUGCAACAGGGCGCUCCAAGCCAACAGCAACAAGGACUUGCCGGUGGAAUGGCUGGUGCAAAGACUACAUCACCAGUCGCUGCAUCGCUCGCCAAUCAUCAACAGAUUGCGUUGACCCCAUUUGCAGGAGGAGCCGCCGCUUUGGAUCAUUUCCAGGCUAUGCAGCAAUAUGCACUCCUUGCAAAUCUUCAAGCAACCGGCGGCGUUGGCGUGCAGGCCACAACCUCAGCAGCUCAAAUGGUUGGAAACGGUGACGUAAAGGGUCCAGACGGUGCGAAUCUCUUCAUAUAUCACUUACCACAAGAUUUUGGAGACAGUGACUUGAUAAAUACGUUUGCGCCGUUUGGUGGAAUACUGUCGGCGAAGGUUUUCAUCGAUAAAGUCACGAAUUUGUCGAAAUGCUUUGGUGAGUUUUAUCUUUUUCAGAAAAAAAAUUCGAAAAUUUUCAGUUUUUUCUUGUCAAAAAAAAAUCUAAAAAAAUUGUAGUUUUUCAGGGAAAAUUGAAACAUUUUUAGUUUUUUAUUGUAAAAAAGGCAAACGAAAACUGCCAGAAUUGAAAUUUCCGGAAUUUAAAACUUCCGAGAAAUUGCUGAUUUGCCGAAUUUGCCGGAAAAACGGCAAAUUGUGGUUUUACACAUUUUUUUGGAAACUUCAGAAUUUCAAUUUUAAUCGGCAAAAUUGUACGCAUCCUAUGAAUGUUCCAACAUCUAUUUUGAGAAAUAAGCAAACUCUAUAAAAAUAUCUAAAGAAAAUGGGAAAAAAAUUUCAAAAUGCACCCGGUAAAUCGGUAAAUCAGUAAACCAGCAAUUUGCCGAAUUUGUCGACAAAAAAUAUUUGCCGAACGGCAAUUGCCGCCCACCCCUGUCGAUGUUCAACAAAUUUACAAAAAUAAACAACUUGUUGCCCAAUUUUUGAAAUAUAUCAAAAUUUCCAGGUUUCGUCUCGUAUGAGAACGCUCAGUCAGCUACAAACGCAAUUUCUGCAAUGAACGGCUUCCAAAUUGGUUCGAAACGACUGAAAGUACAGUUGAAAGUGGAUCGUGGAAAUCCUUACAAUCGAUAA
RNAcentral lists this unclassified non-coding RNA (2283 nucleotides) under Caenorhabditis elegans. Its description in RNAcentral is "Non-coding transcript of protein-coding gene etr-1". The record is from RNAcentral. Lineage: Eukaryota; Metazoa; Nematoda; Chromadorea; Rhabditida; Rhabditidae.